This 21-nucleotide non-coding RNA is filed under the name Arabidopsis thaliana (thale cress). The record is from RNAcentral. Lineage: Eukaryota; Viridiplantae; Streptophyta; Magnoliopsida; Brassicales; Brassicaceae.
CACUGAGAUUCAGCCCUUUGU